This is a non-coding RNA of Triticum aestivum (bread wheat), 122 nucleotides long. The record is from Rfam. NCBI's taxonomy places the organism in Eukaryota, Viridiplantae, Streptophyta, Magnoliopsida, Poales, Poaceae.
AUGGUAAGAGGUACUUGGGUAGCCAGGAUGACUUGCCCAUGGAACCAGGUUCCCGAGAGCUGGGCUCCCGGGGGAGGUUCACAGGCAAAUCAUCCUUGGCUAUCGAAGAUGUCCUCUUACCU